Molecule: ribosomal RNA, 512 nt
Filed under: Argia tezpi
Lineage: Eukaryota; Metazoa; Arthropoda; Insecta; Odonata; Coenagrionidae
Description: partial 16S ribosomal RNA
Rfam family: Bacterial large subunit ribosomal RNA
Source: RNAcentral
AAAACAUGUCCUUUUGUUUAUUUAAAGGUCUGGCCUGCCCAGUGAUUAAUUUAACGGCCGCGGUAUAUUGACCGUGCAAAGGUAGCAUAAUCAUUAGUCUUUUAAUAGGGGGCUAGUAUGAAAGGUUAAACGAAACAUUAACUGUCUUAUUUGUAAUUAUUAGAAUUUAACUUUUGAGUCAAAAGGCUCAAAUUUUUUUGGAGGACGAGAAGACCCUAUAGAGCUUUACAUUAGAUUUUUUAAUAUUUGCUGGUUAAAUGUUUUAGUUUUAAUUUAUCUACUGUUUUGUUGGGGUGACAAUAAAAUAUAAUUAACUUUUUAGAUCAUUUACACUAAUUUGUGAUUAUUUGAUCCAUUAAUAUUGAUCAUUAGAUUAAGUUACCUUAGGGAUAACAGCGUAAUCUUCCUCAGGAGUUCAAAUUUACAGGAAGGGUUGCGACCUCGAUGUUGGAUUAAGAUAAUAGUUAGGUGCAGUAGCUUAAUAAAUAGGUCUGUUCGACCUUUAAAUUCUU